GGCUGGCCAUCCUCCCACCUCUUCACCAGACCGCGAUUCGUGGAUUCCACGCCUACCUGCCGAGUAUUCACCGUACGAAAGCAUUCUUCUGGGAUGAGGGUGGGGCAGCGGACAACACACGGUCCCUGGGGGCGACAGUGAGCAAACCAUACGCACACCGGGCAUCUGGAGGCGAUGGGCGGCAAGAGGGAAAAAGAAGGCAAGGUGUGAGGAGAGCCCUCUUGCAUGAGGGGACGGACAGGCAAAGACGUCAUGAAAUGAGGGAGGGAGCAUCCAUUUGUGUACUUGGGGGAAAGAACAUUUCAUCCAGGAGGACCAGCAAGUAGACAGCCAGAGAUGGGGCAAGCUGGGUACAUUCCAGGGGCAGCAAGGAGACCAGUGUGUCUGAAGCCGAGUGAGCAAGAGACAGCCUUACAGAGUGAAUGCAACCAGCGCAGACCCUCCGAGCCGCAGGUGAAGGGAGGGAGCCAGCCCUGCUCCCAGAAUUGCUCGCAGCCUACGCUACAACGUGCCGGAACCGAAAGGGAUCCCGAAGGUGAGAGAAGAGGAACAAGCAGUGUAAUAACAGAUGUCACCGGGCCUGCCACAGUCAGGGCCUGGUCGGGUCUGUGGGUGGGCCUGGCGGGGCUCAGAACCAACAGGAAUACGGUAAGGAAAUAAAGUCACGUUAAUAGUAGGUGGCCUGGUCAGGAUUCGAACCACUGCGACUCCAGUCCGUGCUCUUCCCCAUCAUCGUAAACCACCGCUGAGCCACUACCUACACCACCUCCUGCUCUUGGCGAAGCAGUAUUCACCCACAGGAAGCUCACAGGGCCCAGGUGGCAGGUGUCGUCCAGAGCUCACUGGGGUGCAGUGAAGUGGACUGAGCUGACAACGUUGGAGCUUCUGAAAACGUUCUAGGGGGAGACGCAGAAAAGAUCACAGGAAAAGUGAAUGAGGGGAGUCUGGAGAGGACCUGCCACCAGGAACAGAGGAUGGACGGACCUGCUGGGCAAGGCCACCCAAACCCAUGAUGACGAGGGUCACUCUACUUUAUGGAUUAGAAUUAGGACAGGGUUGGGCAUUCAAUUGUGACUCGGAGGGGUUAUUGGGGUCACCAUGAAGCUGGGUUUCUGGGAAGGAAUCACACCGGAAAGCUACAGACCUGCUGUCCAGGACCCACUGAGGACCCUCCCUGCAUGGCUGUAUCUUUUGGCUCCUUUGCGUCCAUCAGCCCUUGGCUCAAGGCGACUGGAGAGGUCAGGUAUGAAGAGCUCAGACUGGCCAGUGCACUACCCGGUUACGUUAUCUACUAGACGCCUGUCACUUCCAUCACAGGGCUUCUCUGUGCUCUUUCCAGAUGGCAAGUCACAGUCAGGGCCAGCCCAGAGCGGAAAGUCAGACAGACACGCAGACGGAGUCAAACCAGCUCUCAGAUCCCGGAGUCACUGAUAGAAACUAACACAGCAACAAGAACGUUAGCGCAUAUACGAGGACAGCCUUGGCCCCUUGGUGUCCGCACUGUGACAGAUUUUAACCUUUUGCUGGAUGAGUUUGGAAUUUUU
This 1544-nucleotide long non-coding RNA is filed under the name Equus asinus (donkey). RNAcentral's name for it is "lncRNA (ENSEASG00005034352.1)". The record is from RNAcentral. Lineage: Eukaryota; Metazoa; Chordata; Mammalia; Perissodactyla; Equidae.